RNAcentral lists this ribosomal RNA (253 nucleotides) under uncultured bacterium. RNAcentral describes it as "partial 16S ribosomal RNA". It matches the Rfam family "Bacterial small subunit ribosomal RNA", at positions 524 to 776 of the family's 1533-position model. The record is from RNAcentral.
UACAGAGGUCUCAAGCGUUGUUCGGAUUCAUUGGGCGUAAAGGGUGCGUAGGCGGCGCGGUAAGUCGGGUGUGAAAUUUCGAGGCUUAACUUCGAAACUGCAUUCGAUACUGCCGUGCUUGAGGACUGGAGAGGAGACUGGAAUUUACGGUGUAGCGGUGAAAUGCGUAGAUAUCCGAAGGAACACCGGUAGCGAAAGCGGCGCGCUGGACCUCUUCUGACGCUGAGGCGCGAAAGCCAGGGGAGCAAACGGG